CUACGGGUGGCAGCAGUGAGGAAUAUUGCACAAUGGGGGGAACCCUGAUGCAGCAACGCCGCGUGGAGGAUGACGCAUUUCGGUGUGUAAACUCCUUUUAUAUGUCAAGAAAAUGACGGUAGCAUAUGAAUAAGCACCGGCUAACUCCGUGCCAGCAGCCGCGGUAAUACGGAGGGGUGCAAGCGUUACUCGGAAUCACUGGGCGUAAAGGACGCGUAGGCGGGUUGGAAAGUCAGGUGUGAAAUCCUACAGCUUAACUGUAGAACUGCACUUGAAACUUCUAAUCUAGAGUAUGGGAGGGGGAGAUGGAAUUAGUGGUGUAGGGGUAAAAUCCGUAGAUAUCACUAGGAAUACCUAAAGCGAAGGCGAUCUCCUGGAACAUUACUGACGCUAAGGCGUGAAAGCGUGGGGAGCAAACAGGAUUAGAUACCCUUGUAGUC
RNAcentral lists this ribosomal RNA (440 nucleotides) under uncultured bacterium. Its description in RNAcentral is "partial 16S ribosomal RNA". It matches the Rfam family "Bacterial small subunit ribosomal RNA", at positions 339 to 795 of the family's 1533-position model. The record is from RNAcentral.